This 222-nucleotide ribosomal RNA is filed under the name Grosmannia koreana. RNAcentral's name for it is "5.8S ribosomal RNA". The stretch from base 10 to 163 matches the Rfam family "5.8S ribosomal RNA". From Rfam's summary of the family: 5.8S ribosomal RNA (5.8S rRNA) is a component of the large subunit of the eukaryotic ribosome. It is transcribed by RNA polymerase I as part of the 45S precursor that also contains 18S and 28S rRNA. Lineage: Eukaryota; Fungi; Ascomycota; Sordariomycetes; Ophiostomatales; Ophiostomataceae. The record is from RNAcentral.
AAUCGUUAAAACUUUCAACAACGGAUCUCUUGGUUCUGGCAUCGAUGAAGAACGCAGCGAACUGCGAUAAGUAAUGCGAAUUGCAGAAUUCAGCGAGCCAUCGAAUCUUUGAACGCACAUUGCGCCCGCCAGCAUUCUGGCGGGCAUGCCUGUCCGAGCGUCAUUUCCUCCCUCACGCAGCGCGCCUGCGUGGUGUUGGGGCGUUCUGCGGUCAGGCCUGCG